RNAcentral lists this ribosomal RNA (406 nucleotides) under uncultured bacterium. RNAcentral describes it as "partial 16S ribosomal RNA". It matches the Rfam family "Bacterial small subunit ribosomal RNA", at positions 29 to 526 of the family's 1533-position model. The record is from RNAcentral.
AUUGAACGCUGGCGGCAGGCCUAACACAUGCAAGUCGAACGAGUGGCGGACGGGUGAGUAAUGUCUGGGACACGGCCUGAUGGAGGGGGAUAACUACUGGAAACGGUAGCUAAUACCGCAUACCAUCAGAUGUGCCCAGAUGGGAUUAGCUAGUUGGUGGGGUAACGGCUCACAACGGCGACGAUCCCUAGCUGGUCUGAGAGGAUGACCAGCCACACUGGAACUGGGAAACGGCCCAGACUCCAACGGGAGGCAGCAGUGGGGAAUAUUGGACAAGGGGCGAAAGCCUGAUGCAGCCAUGCCGCGUGUAGGAAGAAGGUCUUCGGGUUGUAAAGUACUUUCAGCGGGGAGGCGUUACCCGCAGAAGAAGCACCGGCUAACUCCGUGCCAGCAGCCGCGGUAAUAC